This 66-nucleotide transfer RNA is filed under the name Gari togata. RNAcentral describes it as "tRNA-Lys". The record is from RNAcentral. Lineage: Eukaryota; Metazoa; Mollusca; Bivalvia; Cardiida; Psammobiidae.
GCACUGUAGCUAUAAAAGUAUGAGAUUUUUAAUCUUGGGAUCCAAUCUUAAGGUUGGCAGAGCUAU